GCGUUUAUAGUGUAGUGGUAACACCCUGUACUUCCAAUUCAGUAUCUUCGGUUCGAAUCCGAAUAGACGCUCCA
RNAcentral lists this transfer RNA (74 nucleotides) under Acinetobacter phage YMC13/03/R2096. RNAcentral's name for it is "tRNA-Gly". It matches the Rfam family "tRNA". Rfam says of the family: Transfer RNA (tRNA) molecules are approximately 80 nucleotides in length. Their secondary structure includes four short double-helical elements and three loops (D, anti-codon, and T loops). Further hydrogen bonds mediate the characteristic L-shaped molecular structure. tRNAs have two regions of fundamental functional importance: the anti-codon, which is responsible for specific mRNA codon recognition, and the 3' end, to which the tRNAs corresponding amino acid is attached (by aminoacyl-tRNA synthetases). tRNAs cope with the degeneracy of the genetic code in two manners: having more than one tRNA (with a specific anti-codon) for a particular amino acid; and 'wobble' base-pairing, i.e. permitting non-standard base-pairing at the 3rd anti-codon position. RNAcentral also lists the same sequence under 1 other name. Lineage: Duplodnaviria; Heunggongvirae; Uroviricota; Caudoviricetes. The record is from RNAcentral.